AAAGCUCAAAUUUAAAAUCUGGCAGCAUUGGCUGUCCGAGUUGUAAUCUGGAGAAGCAUUUUCUGUGUCGGACCGUGCACAAGUUUCCUGGAACGGAAUGUCAUAGAGGGUGAGAAUCCCGUCCAUGGCACGGACCACCGAUGCAUUGUGAUAUGCUCUCGAAGAGUCGAGUUGUUUGGGAAUGCAGCUCAAAAUGGGUGGUAAAUUCCAUCUAAAGCUAAAUAUUGGCGAGAGACCGAUAGCGAA
This 246-nucleotide ribosomal RNA is filed under the name Hyphodontia sp. 3 CRJH-2017. RNAcentral's name for it is "partial 28S ribosomal RNA". It matches the Rfam family "Eukaryotic large subunit ribosomal RNA", at positions 104 to 344 of the family's 3401-position model. Lineage: Eukaryota; Fungi; Basidiomycota; Agaricomycetes; Hymenochaetales; Schizoporaceae. The record is from RNAcentral.